UGAAAUUUUAUUAAAAGAAAAAGGGGUGAAAAGAACAAAGUUUUGUCCAUCUUUGUUCAUCAUAGCCUAAAGUUAGAGAAGAGAAAGGAGAGGAGAAAGCUCUUGAAUGUUCGAUCACUUGGGGAAGAAAAUUGAAGGAAAUCUGUAACGCCUCGUACCCGAGACCAUCGCCGGAGUCGAACACGAGGUGUUAACAGACUUAAUUCAUUACUUAAACAGCUCAAACAAUUUAUUUUUAAAAUUUUUAGUCAAGCUAACAAUCUGCGUCAUAGUCGCUUAAAAAUUCAUAUCUCGAGUUACGAAACUCGAAAUCAAAUUCCGUAAAUUUUCCCUGAAACUAGACUCAUAUAUAUAUUUACUAAUUGUUUUUCUAGAA
Gossypium arboreum is the source of this 376-nucleotide long non-coding RNA. RefSeq lists it as uncharacterized. The transcript has 2 exons. The record is from RefSeq and is a predicted model, not a curated record. Lineage: Eukaryota; Viridiplantae; Streptophyta; Magnoliopsida; Malvales; Malvaceae.